GUGCCAGCAGCCGCGGUAAGACGAACCUGACAAACGUUAUUCGGAAUUACUGGGCUUAAAGGGUGCGUAGGCGGCGCGACAAGUUGGGUGUGAAAUCCCUCGGCUCAACCGAGGAACUGCGCUCAAUACUGUCGUGCUCGAGGGAGACAGAGGUGAGCGGAACUUAGGGUGGAGCGGUGAAAUGCGUUGAUAUCCUAAGGAACACCGGUAGCGAAAGCGGCUCACUGGGUCUUUUCUGACGCUGAGGCACGAAAGCUAGGGUAGCGAACGGGAUUAGAUACCCCGGUAGUCC
This 292-nucleotide ribosomal RNA is filed under the name uncultured bacterium. RNAcentral describes it as "partial 16S ribosomal RNA". It matches the Rfam family "Bacterial small subunit ribosomal RNA", at positions 505 to 796 of the family's 1533-position model. The record is from RNAcentral.